RNAcentral lists this transfer RNA (82 nucleotides) under Streptococcus pneumoniae B1599. RNAcentral's name for it is "tRNA-Tyr". It matches the Rfam family "tRNA". Rfam says of the family: Transfer RNA (tRNA) molecules are approximately 80 nucleotides in length. Their secondary structure includes four short double-helical elements and three loops (D, anti-codon, and T loops). The record is from RNAcentral. Lineage: Bacteria; Bacillati; Bacillota; Bacilli; Lactobacillales; Streptococcaceae.
GGAAGGGUAGCGAAGAGGCUAAAGCGCGGCGGACUGUAAAUCCGCUCCUUCGGGUUCGGGGGUUCGAAUCCCUCCCCUUCCA